RNAcentral lists this ribosomal RNA (301 nucleotides) under uncultured bacterium. RNAcentral describes it as "partial 16S ribosomal RNA". It matches the Rfam family "Bacterial small subunit ribosomal RNA", at positions 509 to 807 of the family's 1533-position model. The record is from RNAcentral.
CAGUAGCCGCGGUAAUACGAAGGGGGCUAGCGUUGCUCGGAAUCACUGGGCGUAAAGGGUGCGUAGGCGGGUCUUUAAGUUAGGGGUGAAAUCCUGGAGCUCAACUCCAGAACUGCCUUUGAUACUGAAGAUCUUGAGUUCGGGAGAGGUGAGUGGAACUGCGAGUGUAGAGGUGAAAUUCGUAGAUAUUCGCAAGAACACCAGUGGCGAAGGCGGCUCACUGGCCCGAUACUGACGCUGAGGCACGAAAGCGUGGGGAGCAAACAGGAUUAGAUACCCGCGUAGUCCCUGUCUCUUAUAC